GAUGAAGAACGUAGCGAAAUGCGAUAAGUGAUGUGAAUUGCAGAAUUCAGUGAAUCAUCGAAUCUUUGAACGCACCUUGCGCUCUUUGGCCAUUCCGAAGGGCAUGCCUGUUUGAGUAUCAUGAACACCUCAACUCUUUAUGGUUUUCCAUGAUGAGCUUGGACUUUGGGGGUUUUGCUGGCCUAUGGUCGGCUCCUCUAAAAUAAAUCAGCUUACCAGUGUUUGGUGGGUAUCAUGGGUGUGAUAACUAUCUACGCUUGUGGUUUUUCCGCCAGGUAACCUUCGACAGCGGAGGUUCACUGGAGCUCAUAGAUGUCUCUCCUCAGCGAGGACAGCCCUUUGAAUGUUUGAUCUCAAAUCAGGUAGGACUACCCGCUGAACUUAAGCAUAUCAAUAAGCGGAGGA
RNAcentral lists this unclassified non-coding RNA (405 nucleotides) under soil metagenome. RNAcentral describes it as "partial contains 5.8S ribosomal RNA, internal transcribed spacer 2, and large subunit ribosomal RNA". The stretch from base 1 to 121 matches the Rfam family "5.8S ribosomal RNA", at positions 35 to 154 of the family's 154-position model. The record is from RNAcentral.